This is a long non-coding RNA of Hemicordylus capensis (graceful crag lizard), 408 nucleotides long. RefSeq lists it as uncharacterized. Lineage: Eukaryota; Metazoa; Chordata; Lepidosauria; Squamata; Cordylidae. The record is from RefSeq and is a predicted model, not a curated record. The transcript has 2 exons.
GAGGAGUCCAACAGCGGCAGCUCUCUGACAUUAGCAGCAGGAAGAGGAGGCAGUAGAGGCAGUGGUGGCGGCGGCAGCGAACAGGAGGAAGAGGAAGAAGUGGCAGCAGUGGCUCACCAUUCAAAUUCUUUCAAGUAUGUGGAAGUACUCCAGCCCAAAGGGGUCAUCCAAUGAAGCUGAUUGGCAGGAGGUUUAGGAUGGAGAAAAGUGAGGACUUCUUCACACUGUGUGUCAUAAAUCUAAGGAAUUUGGUGUGCAGAACAUACACUUUGCAUUCAGAAGCUCCUAGGAUCAAUUUCUAGCUGCAAGGUUCUCAGGUAUCAGAGCUGGAGAAGAGCUUCAAGAGCUGCUGCCAGUCACUAGGAAGCCUUUGUCAGACCCUCUGACGAAUAAAGUGCAUUUACCAUG